RNAcentral lists this long non-coding RNA (480 nucleotides) under Trifolium pratense (red clover). RNAcentral describes it as "long non-coding RNA (TPRA_LNC010823)". The record is from RNAcentral. Lineage: Eukaryota; Viridiplantae; Streptophyta; Magnoliopsida; Fabales; Fabaceae.
UCAAUUUGCUACAUUAAAUCAACAAAAAACAGACAAUUAAUUCCAACAUGUAAAAUUGAGAGAGUUACAAUUCAAGUAUUUGUGUUUCUAAAAUCAGGAAGUAAUCAAUUCCUAUGUAUGGUCUAUAAACAAGAAAUUAAAGAACAUAUAUUAUAUAUAUAUAUAAAAUUAGUUGAGUUUGUUCAAUGACCAGCUAUAGCAUGUGAGUUCAGUGACCACGUCCUUUGUGGCUUGGCCCAGAAUAUGCCCGGCUGAUUAUUAAACUUAUGAGGGAAGGAGCAGAUUCAUCUCUCAGAGGUCUCAUCCCCUCUACAACUUCAAUGGAGUGUGAGAGAAAGACAAAAAAUAUUAUCAAAAAAAGAAGAAAAGAACCAUGCAGCACCUUCAUUUUGUAUAUAUAUAUAUAUCUAGCAGCUUUGAACUCCAAAACGUACACAAUAUAUGGUAAUAUAUAGAAUGGUUUCGUGAUCUGGAGUAUGA